RNAcentral lists this long non-coding RNA (445 nucleotides) under Triticum aestivum (bread wheat). RNAcentral describes it as "long non-coding RNA (TAES_LNC013527)". Lineage: Eukaryota; Viridiplantae; Streptophyta; Magnoliopsida; Poales; Poaceae. The record is from RNAcentral.
AAAUGUGACAUGCUCGCUCAAUCUUCCUGUAUUUGCUUUACUUGUAAAUUAAAUUAUACAUUACACAUAUUUUUCUGUUGAAACAAAUAUAAGGAAGACUGAUGAACAUAGAAAAACAAAGGUAAGUUUACUGAAAAACUGUGCUCUGACUGAUGGUUAAUAUAACUUUCUUCCAGCAGUAAACACUGGUAUCACAACUGGAUAGAUUCCAUAUUAUCCUAAUUUUAAGAGAUCACUAUUGUUGAAAUUUAUGUAUAGACUUAAUACUUAUAGAUAGCUAGAGGGCAGGAGUAAUUAAACAAAUAACAUACAGAGUACUUCUAGUUUUAGAUAAGUUACUAGCAUCUCCAAUUGUUCCAUGACUCCAUUUAUGUCAUAUAUGCAUAUGAGAAUUCAAACUGUAUGAUCCAAGUAAAUGAGUACCUAUUUACUUCCUUAUCCAUUU